This 429-nucleotide ribosomal RNA is filed under the name Bacteroidota bacterium. Its description in RNAcentral is "Bacteroidetes bacterium partial 16S ribosomal RNA". It matches the Rfam family "Bacterial small subunit ribosomal RNA", at positions 355 to 776 of the family's 1533-position model. The record is from RNAcentral. Lineage: Bacteria; Pseudomonadati; Bacteroidota.
UAGGGAAUCUUCGGCAAUGGGGGGAACCCUGACCGAGCAACGCCGCGUGAGUGAAGAAGGUUUUCGGAUCGUAAAGCUCUGUUGUUAAGGAAGAACGAGUGUGAGAAUGGAAAGUUCAUGCUGUGACGGUACUUAACCAGAAAGGGACGGCUAACUACGUGCCAGCAGCCGCGGUAAUACGUAGGUCCCGAGCGUUGUCCGGAUUUAUUGGGCGUAAAGCGAGCGCAGGCGGUUAGAAAAGUCUGAAGUGAAAGGCAGUGGCUCAACCAUUGUAGGCUUUGGAAACUGUUUAACUUAAGUGCAGAAGGGGAGAGUGGAAUUCCAUGUGUAGCGGUGAAAUGCGUAGAUAUAUGGAGGAACACCGGUGGCGAAAGCGGCUCUCUGGUCUGUAACUGACGCUGAGGCUCGAAAGCGUGGGGAGCGAACAGG